UGGGGAAUUUUGGACAAUGGGGGAAACCCUGAUCCAGCCAUCCCGCGUGUGCGAUGAAGGCCUUCGGGUUGUAAAGCACUUUUGGCAGGAAAGAAACGUCAUGGGUUAAUACCCCGUGAAACUGACGGUACCUGCAGAAUAAGCACCGGCUAACUACGUGCCAGCAGCCGCGGUAAUACGUAGGGUGCAAGCGUUAAUCGGAAUUACUGGGCGUAAAGCGUGCGCAGGCGGUUCGGAAAGAAAGAUGUGAAAUCCCAGAGCUCAACUUUGGAACUGCAUUUUUAACUACCGAGCUAGAGUGUGUCAGAGGGAGGUGGAAUUCCGCAUGUAGCAGUGAAAUGCGUAGAUAUGCGGAGGAACACCGAUGGCGAAGGCAGCCUCCUGGGAUAACACUGACGCUCAUGCACGAAAGCGUGGGGAGCAAACAGG
RNAcentral lists this ribosomal RNA (429 nucleotides) under Acidobacteriota bacterium. RNAcentral's name for it is "Acidobacteria bacterium partial 16S ribosomal RNA". It matches the Rfam family "Bacterial small subunit ribosomal RNA", at positions 355 to 776 of the family's 1533-position model. The record is from RNAcentral. Lineage: Bacteria; Pseudomonadati; Acidobacteriota.